This 250-nucleotide ribosomal RNA is filed under the name uncultured bacterium. RNAcentral describes it as "partial 16S ribosomal RNA". It matches the Rfam family "Bacterial small subunit ribosomal RNA", at positions 524 to 776 of the family's 1533-position model. The record is from RNAcentral.
UACGGAGGGUGCGAGCGUUGUUCGGAAUCACUGGGCGUAAAGGGCGUGUAGGCGGUCCGCUAAGUCUGAUGUGAAAGCCCGGGGCUCACCCCCGGAAGUGCAUUGGAAACUGGCGGACUCGAGCCGGAGAGGAGAGUGGAAUUCCUGGUGUAGCGGUGAAAUGCGUAGAUAUCGAGAGGAACACCGGUGGCGAAGGCGGCCUUCUGGACAGUGACUGACGUGAGACGCGAAAGCGUGGGGAGCAAACAGG